UUUUGUAGAAUGAGCUGAAAGCCAGUGGUGGCGAAAUCAAAAUUCAUAAAAUGGAGCAAAAGGAGAAUGUGCCCCCAGGUCCUGAGGUCUGCAUCACCCAUCAGGAAGGGGAAAAGAUUUCUGCAAAUGAGAAUAGCCUGGCAGUCCGUUCCACCCCUGCCGAAGAUGACUCCCGUAAGCAUUCUUUCUUAGAUCUGGAGGAUGAGGUUCUUGUUUUCUAUCUGUAUUUGGUUCAGGGGUGUUCCCAUUACUGUCAGUGCUGAGAAAAUAACAUAGUAAAUCCUCUACUUGAAUUUAAGGGCUAAUGCUUGAAUGUCCUUUACACACUUCAUGGCUUAAGGAGAAGUUAAAUUCAAUUGAAUAUAGUUAACUUGGGACAAACUGAA
RNAcentral lists this long non-coding RNA (386 nucleotides) under Homo sapiens (human). RNAcentral describes it as "non-protein coding lnc-CERS5-4:1". Lineage: Eukaryota; Metazoa; Chordata; Mammalia; Primates; Hominidae. The record is from RNAcentral.